UUAAAAAUUAUAUUGCCUACCAAAAUAUAAGUUGUGAUAUUUAUAUAUAAGGGUUAAUAAGUAAUUACAUUUGUGAAUAAAAAAUGAUAGAUCUUAGAGAUUUAAUGAAAUCCCUAAAUUACCGCGUUGACUAAAGGGGAAGAAUUGUUUGGGUAAAUAUUGUGUCUUUUCACCACACGUUUACCCUUUCAUCUUCUUCUUUUUCCGUCUGCCAUUAUUGAGGAAGAAGAAGUUGUUCAAGCUCCAAGCUCCGGCGAUUCAUCCUCAGAGUACCGCUAUUCAUCUAAAUUGGUCCAAGCUCCGACGAUUGAACAAGAUGAGGAUGGUGUCGGGUUUCACCGGGAAGAGAGCAGAAGGCCAUUGUCUAAAUCUGCCAACAACCACCACAAAUCUGCCAGCAACUCGCCGCCGCCGACGACCGGCGACCGGAGCACCACCACCACCGACCGCAAGCACCACCACCACCACAAAUCUUCUGACCGGAGCGCAACCACCACCACAAAUCUUGCAAAAAUCUUGAUGAUUCUGCCAUCCUCCACCAUCACUAGCACCACCAAAAAUCUUCUGAUCGGUGCACCACCAGUGUUAGGUCUGGAGGGUCUCGAAUAGGUGUAUUGGGGGGGGUGACACGCACCCGUCGUGCGGUGCGGACAAAAUACUUGUGUAUGCCCGAUACAGACAAUACACGCUCCUACUUCUCACAACAAGAAUCAAGUCUUAGUGGCAAGUGUAGGGUCGAAUCCCACAGGGAGUGAGGAACUACUUUGUUCUCCAACGACAAACUGAGGUGUCACAGGUCUCAAUCUGUAUACUCUGCACAAGAAAAUAACAAGAUCAAUAAUAACAAAUGGGUGAGGUUAUUCGGUUAGGUUAUAACUGUUGUCAACAUUCGUUUCGGUCAUAGGCAUACUGAUGAUCCGUCCAUGGUCCAUAUAAACCCGAGGCGCGGCCCAAAGACAUUGGGGCGUUUCAAGGGUCUAUACUUCACACUUGGGAUGGUUGAGCUCAUUGUAGUCACUUGGUCCGAAGAUCACACAUUUCCCGGUCACAAGGCAGUGCUCCACUCCUCCUUAGAUAGUAGUCAUACCCGUUACUCACCAAGUAUGACCCUCACCAACCUUCUCUCCCGAAGUCCCCAACUCUGCACUUUGAGUGACACAUGCCUCCUGGACACAACCAUUUCCGGCUUGUUAGCCGACCAGUCAUAGACAUGCUACGGCGCAGAAGUUGCCUUCCUCGUUUGAUAACCAUGGCUUGAUGCCUCGUCACAGUUGAUGGAUAGUCUCUAGAGAAGCUCAAGACUGAGGAAAGUCAGUGUAUCCCAUCAAUCCUUUCCCCACCUUCCGGAUCUACAACGCCUUUUAUUGACGCUGUUCAGCUACUCGGUCUUGGGUAUACCGGUUGUCACGCCCUGGUAUACCCUGGCCUUUGCUUGACACGGACAGCGUUUUAUCGAACGGAGAUCACCCGUCAGGCCCCUAUUGUCCAUGGUUUGGCACAGAUCCAUCCGGAACCACGAGACUCAACCGAAAGAACAAAUGCCUCACGAAUAUUUACAUGUUGACAACAAUUAUUUCCACCCCUAAAACCUCACCUAGGGAACUACUCACACAUAACAGAAUUCAUAAAUGCGAAAUGAAUAAAACACAUCAUGUAACAAAAGGAAAAUACUUGAUUAAUAGAAAUGAUACCUACGGCCUCGAGCCUUGAAUCUUGUUCGAAUGAAAACACAACGGAAACAUGAAACAGUGCUGGAAUAUAAAUUAUUUUGGAUGCCACACGCGGCGGAAUUGGAAUAGUAAAACUAAAUAAAACAAGAGUUUAAAAGUGCCAAGAAGUUCUUUCACGCUGCACAUCCUCCUCCUUUUAUACUGUCGAAUGGUGAAGGUCUAACCCGCCCUAGCUGCGCCAGCUUCAUAUCUUCAUCAAGAUCUUCUUUCCUUCUUUAGCUCAAUCCUUGAUUGAUCCGAUUGAAGAUAGCUUCCAGCUGCUUGCUGUGGUCAACCUUUCCCUUUCUUCAGAUUCUUCUAGCUUCUUCUUCCUUCUUCCAUUCGCUUCCUCCAAUUCCCGAGAUUUACUUUCCUUUCCUGGCUUUGGCUGUCUGCUUCUCAUUGUAGUGGUCAGACGAAUUGCUUCAUUUGGUUUGAUUCAUACCAGGUGGGUUGCUUCAGGUUCCCAUGCCCCAAGUUAGACUGGAGAGGUACUGCAGUCGAAGCUCCAUGCUGGUAAACAUGACAUUGCAAUCUGGGCCUGAUAAUGCCCACUCUACUGGACCUUCCUUCUGUUUCCACUCUACUGGACCUUCCUUCCUCAACAACUUCAUUCUCCACUGGACAGACCUGAACUGACACGAAUAAAGAGAAAAAAGAGGGCCAAAUGGCCUAAAAGUCGAAGACGCAUCAGGGGGAAAAUACACCUAUAGGCUAUUUUUAAGAAAACAGAGGGAUCUCAAGAUAGAGAUCAAAACGAAACUUUACACGCAAACUUAGACGCCUGUUUACUGAAAAGAGUUUUGACCAAACAGGGUUGACGACUGAUACUGAAAUACUCUUCAGUAAUGAGUUAUCAGUUAAGUUAUUAGAACUU
Molecule: long non-coding RNA, 2586 nt
Organism: Salvia miltiorrhiza (redroot sage)
Lineage: Eukaryota; Viridiplantae; Streptophyta; Magnoliopsida; Lamiales; Lamiaceae
Exons: 3
Source: RefSeq, a predicted model, not a curated record